AAUUGCAUUUUUGGGAGCCUGCUGUAUAUACGUGAUAAUCUUGGAGUCUCUGCGCGCUACCAAUAAAUUUAGAAUGGCUUUAAAAUUGCCUUCAUUGCCUUUUGAAUCCAGUGAAAGCGGUCCACUAUCACGGAGACCGCGAAAGGCAAUGUUUUGCCUUCCAACGCUGUAUACCAACCAAUUAAAUUCUGCGAAAUUACUGGAGAACAAAUCGUUACUUGGGUUGAGGAAAUAUUUGAAGCUUCUGAGUGAGAAAUUACUGGAGAACAAUCUAAGUUGGAUUUUUGAAAAUAAUCUGUCAGUUUUCUUAUUUUUCCAGGCGGAGGAGGCAUGAUGAUAAGAUAUUAAUAAUAUUAUAUUUAAACUGCGCGUUUAAGGCUGAAAACAAAUAUAACUGGCCGUCUUCCUAAGCAAAAUACUGGAAA
Molecule: non-coding RNA, 425 nt
Organism: Ciona intestinalis (vase tunicate)
Lineage: Eukaryota; Metazoa; Chordata; Ascidiacea; Phlebobranchia; Cionidae
Source: RefSeq, a predicted model, not a curated record